Molecule: ribosomal RNA, 459 nt
Filed under: uncultured bacterium
Lineage: Bacteria
Description: partial 16S ribosomal RNA
Rfam family: Bacterial small subunit ribosomal RNA
Source: RNAcentral
CCUACGGGAGGCAGCAGUGAGGAAUAUUGGUCAAUGGUCGGGAGACUGAACCAGCCAAGCCGCGUGAGGGAGGAAGGUACAGAGUAUCGUAAACCUCUUUUGUCAGGGAACAAAGGCGGGGACGUGUCCCCGGAUGAGUGUACCUGAAGAAAAAGCAUCGGCUAACUCCGUGCCAGCAGCCGCGGUAAUACGGAGGAUGCGAGCGUUAUCCGGAUUUAUUGGGUUUAAAGGGUGCGCAGGCGGUCUGUUAAGUCAGCGGUCAAAGCCCGGGGCUCAACCCCGGACCGCGGUUGAAACUGGCAGUCGCGAGUUGGAGAGACGCAUGCGGAAUGCGCGGUGUAGCGGUGAAAUGCAUAGAUAUCGCGCAGAACUCCGAUUGCGAAGGCAGCAUGCCGGCUCCACACUGACGCUGAGGCACGAAAGCGUGGGUAUCGAACAGGAUUAGAUACCCUAGUAGUC